This is a long non-coding RNA of Sipha flava (yellow sugarcane aphid), 259 nucleotides long. RefSeq lists it as uncharacterized. The transcript has 3 exons. Lineage: Eukaryota; Metazoa; Arthropoda; Insecta; Hemiptera; Aphididae. The record is from RefSeq and is a predicted model, not a curated record.
UUUUAUUUAUAUUUUUCUGGUAUUUAUUAUUCAAAUGUAUGUUAUCGUCUUAAUGUUAUCUCAUGCAUUUGACCACAAACCAUUCGCUAAAUAAGAUUCAAAAGGUUAAGAACAUCGAUCGAUCUGCGUUUGGAUAAAAAUCGAACAUAGAACUAAUUAACUUCUAUAUUAUUCUCAUAAAAUAAUAAUUCACUGCGCAAAAAAGGCGUAUUGCGAUUGCGAUGUACGAAUGCGUGUCAUCAUUAUUAUCUCCACGUGG